AAUAGAUACCCGGGUAGUCCACGCCGUAAACGAUGAGUGCUAAGUGUUAGGGGGUUUCCGCCCCUUAGUGCUGCAGCUAACGCAUUAAGCACUCCGCCUGGGGAGUACGGUCGCAAGACUGAAACUCAAAGGAAUUGACGGGGGCCCGCACAAGCGGUGGAGCAUGUGGUUUAAUUCGAAGCAACGCGAAGAACCUUACCAGGUCUUGACAUCCCGUUGACCACUGUAGAGAUAUAGUUUCCCCUUCGGGGGCAACGGUGACAGGUGGUGCAUGGUUGUCGUCAGCUCGUGUCGUGAGAUGUUGGGUUAAGUCCCGCAACGAGCGCAACCCUUGAUCUUAGUUGCCAUCAUUUAGUUGGGCACUCUAAGGUGACUGCCGGUGACAAACCGGAGGAAGGUGGGGAUGACGUCAAAUCAUCAUGCCCCUUAUGACCUGGGCUACACACGUGCUACAAUGGACGAUACAAACGGUUGCCAACUCGUGAGAGGGAGCUAAUCCGAUAAAGUCGUUCUCAGUUCGGAUUGUAGG
Molecule: ribosomal RNA, 529 nt
Filed under: uncultured bacterium
Lineage: Bacteria
Description: bacterial SSU rRNA
Rfam family: Bacterial small subunit ribosomal RNA
Source: RNAcentral